AUGCUCUCUUCUCUCCCUAUCUCUUCCAUUCCUCUCGUUCUCACAAAGCACCGUUGAAAGCCCCCAAUGGUCUCCCAAAUAGACACCGCUCCGGCCACCGCCGUGGUGGCCACUCCUCUCCCCAAUAGGCAAAUACGACGAUGGGAAAAGCCCUAAAUAACCCCAACAAAGUAAACCCCGUCUAGUUUGUUCAUAAUCUCCCACUCCAACUCUCGAUCGAGGCAACCUAGGACACCCGAGGGCUCGCUCUUGUCGUAGAUCAACUACUUCCUCACCUCCGACCACCCUAACGGUGAUUGGGCUAGACCACAACCCCAAUACCAGAUCUGAAACACAACAUACGACCGAAAAAGACUCACGGCCCUUCACCUCAUCGACACCGGCUGUAGACCACUACUCCGAUAGGGAACUUAAACCACUAAGGGUGCUAACAACUCACCACAAACUCACCCAACUCCGGCGACAGUGUUUCUCUUUCAGCGACACUCGAACAGACCAAGAAAAUGGAGACCCAACCCCUUGUGUUCCCUUUUCGCCCGUUGCAGAGCAUGGGCACCAGCUCGGGCUUGGUGCUUCACGUGAGGACUGAAAACGGCAUUGGCAGGGUGUGGGCAACAUGACAUCUCGGGAGGCACCAGCUUCUGUUGGGAGUGGCACUUCAGUAUGUGGAGCAGACAUGAUGGAGCAUGCGUGCAUGAGCUGUUGCUCGGUUGGGGCACUUCACGUGGGAGGUGUCUCUAACUGGGUCAGAUUUGAGUCAAAACUGGGUCAAACUUGGGUUGUA
Molecule: long non-coding RNA, 784 nt
Organism: Hibiscus syriacus
Lineage: Eukaryota; Viridiplantae; Streptophyta; Magnoliopsida; Malvales; Malvaceae
Exons: 3
Source: RefSeq, a predicted model, not a curated record